Molecule: ribosomal RNA, 235 nt
Filed under: uncultured bacterium
Lineage: Bacteria
Description: partial 16S ribosomal RNA
Rfam family: Bacterial small subunit ribosomal RNA
Source: RNAcentral
CGCACGGGUGAGUAACACGUAUCCAACCUGCCGUCUACUCUUGGACAGCCUUCUGAAAGGAAGAUUAAUACAAGAUGGCAUCAUGAGUCCGCAUGUUCACAUGAUUAAAGGUAUUCCGGUAGACGAUGGGGAUGCGUUCCAUUAGUUUGUUGGCGGGGUAACGGCCCACCAAGACUACGAUGGAUAGGGGUUCUGAGAGGAAGGUCCCCCACAUUGGAACUGAGACACGGUCCAA